This 1530-nucleotide ribosomal RNA is filed under the name Flavobacterium sp. SL177. Its description in RNAcentral is "bacterial SSU rRNA". It matches the Rfam family "Bacterial small subunit ribosomal RNA". The record is from RNAcentral. Lineage: Bacteria; Pseudomonadati; Bacteroidota; Flavobacteriia; Flavobacteriales; Flavobacteriaceae.
GGGAAAUGGGGCAGGCUACCAUGCAGUCGAGGGGUAGGGACUUCGGUGCUUGAGACCGGCGCACGGGUGCGUAACGCGUAUGCAAUCUGCCUUCCACAGAGGGAUAGCCCAGAGAAAUUUGGAUUAAUACCUCAUAGCAUCAUGACCCGGCAUCGGGAUAUGAUUAAAGUCACAACGGUGGAAGAUGAGCAUGCGUCCCAUUAGCUAGUUGGUAAGGUAACGGCUUUACCCAAGGCUAUCGGAUGGGGUAAGGGGUCCCUGGAGAGGGGAGAUCCCCCACCCACUGGGUACUGGAGACACGGACCCAAGACUCCUUACGGGGAGGCAGCCAGUGAAGGAAUUAUUGGUCCAAUGGGCGCCAAGCCCUGAACCCAGCCAUGCCCGCGUGCAAGGAUGACGGUCCCUAUGGAUUGUAAACUGCUUUUGUACGGGAAGAAACCCUUCCUACGUGUAGGAGCUUGACGGUACCGUAAGAAUAAGGAUCGGCUAACUCCGUGCCAGCAGCCGCGGUAAUACGGAGGAUCCAAGCGUUAUCCGGAAUCAUUGGGUUUAAAGGGUCUGUAGGCGGUCUUGUAAGUCAGUGGUGAAAGCCCAUCGCUCAACGGUGGAACGGCCAUUGAUACUGCUGGACUUGAAUUAUUGGGAAGCAACUAGAAUAUGUAGUGUAGCGGUGAAAUGCUUAGAGAUUACAUGGAAUACCAAUUGCGAAGGCAGGUUGCUACCAAUGGAUUGACGCUGAUGGACGAAAGCGUGGGUAGCGAACAGGAUUAGAUACCCUGGUAGUCCACGCCGUAAACGAUGGAUACUAGCUGUUGGGCGCAAGUUCAGUGGCUAAGCGAAAGUGAUAAGUAUCCCACCUGGGGGAGUACGAACGCAAGUUUGAAACUCAAAGGAAUUGACGGGGGCCCGCACAAGCGGGUGGAGCAUGGUGGUUUAAUUCCGAUGAUACGCCGAGGAACCUUUACCAAGGCUUAAAUGCAAACUUGACCGGGUUUGGAAAACAGAACCUUUUCGCAAAGACCGGUCUACCAAGGUGGCUGCAUGGGUUGGUCGUCAACCUCGGUGCCCGUGAGGGUGUCCAGGGUUAAAGUCCUAUUAACCGAGCCGCAACCCCCUGGUUGGUUAAGUUUGCCCAAGCGAAGGCCAUUGUCCGGGGAAACUUCUAAGCCAAAGACUUGGCCAAGUGGCAAAACUUGGGGAGAGGGAAGGGGUGGGGGGAAUUAGACCGUCCAAAAUCCAUUCACCGGGGCCCCUUUUACGGCUCUGUGGGGGGCUUACAACCAACGGUGGGCUUAACAAAUGGCCGGUACAGAGAGCAGCCACCCCGCGAGGGGGAGCGAAUCUAUAAAGCCGGUCACAGUUCGGAUCGGAGUCUGCAACUCGACUCCGUGAAGCUGGAAUCGCUAGUAAUCGGAUAUCAGCCAUGAUCCGGUGAAUACGUUCCCGGGCCUUGUACACACCGCCCGUCAAGCCAUGGAAGCUGGGGGUGCCUGAAGUCGGUGACCGCAAGGAGCUGCUAGGUAAACCUUU